RNAcentral lists this ribosomal RNA (496 nucleotides) under uncultured bacterium. RNAcentral describes it as "bacterial SSU rRNA". It matches the Rfam family "Bacterial small subunit ribosomal RNA", at positions 29 to 517 of the family's 1533-position model. The record is from RNAcentral.
AAUGAACGUUGGCGGCGUGGAUUAGGCAUGCAAGUCGAGCGAGAAUUUGCGAUUGGAAGCUUCGGCCGAAGAAAGUGAAGGAAAGCGGCAAACGGCGUAGUAAGGCGUAGGUACGUACCCUCGGGUCGGGAAUAGCCAUGGGAAACUGUGGGUAAUGCCCGAUAAUCUCUGCGGAGCAAAGGUGUGAUUCCGCCGGAGGAGCGGCUUACGUGAUAUUAGCUAGUUGGUGGGGUAAUGGCCUACCAAGGCAACGAUGUCUAGGGGGUGUGAGAGCAUGGCCCCCACGACCGGAACUGAGACACUGUCCGGACACCUACGGGUGGCUGCAGUCGAGAAUCUUCCGCAAUGGGCGAAAGCCUGACGGAGCGACGCCGCGUGGUGGAUGAAGGCCCUUGGGUUGUAAACACCUAUCAGAGGGGAUGAAAUCAUGGUUGGCAAUCCUUCCAUGUUGACAGAGCCUCAGAGGAAGCACGGGCUAAGUACGUGCCAGCAGCCG